Non-coding RNA from Vicugna pacos (alpaca), 3949 nucleotides. The record is from RefSeq and is a predicted model, not a curated record. NCBI's taxonomy places the organism in Eukaryota, Metazoa, Chordata, Mammalia, Artiodactyla, Camelidae.
ACCCGCAGCUCCUGGCCCGGUUCUACCACGCGGACGAGGAGCUGAGCCAGGUGGCUGCCGAGCUGGACAGCCUGGACGGGCGGAGGGACCCCCAGCGCUGCACGCUGCUCGUCAGCCAGUUCCGCUCCUGCCAGGACAACGUGUUAAACAUCAUUAACCAGAUCAUGGACGUGUGCAUCCCCCAGGACCGCGCCCCACGGGAUUUCUGUGUCAAGUUCCCCGAGGAGAUCCGGCAUGACAACCUGGCCGGCCAGCUGUGGUUUGGCGCCGAGUGCCUGGCCGCCGGCUCCAUCAUCAUGAACCGCGAGCUGGAGAGCAUGGCCAUGCGCCCGCUGGCCAAGGAGCUGACCCGCAGCCUGGAGGACGUGCGGGGCGCCCUCCGCGACCAGGCGCUGCGGGACCUCAACACGUACACGGAGAAGAUGCGGGAGGCGCUGAGGCACUUCGACGUGCUGUUCGCCGAGUUCGAGCUGAGCUACGUGUCGGCCAUGGUGCCCGUGAAGUCCCCCAGGGAGUACUACGUGCAGCAGGAGGUCAUCGUGCUGUUCUGCGAGACGGUGGAGAGGGCCCUGGACUUCGGGUACCUGACCCAGGACAUGAUUGACGACUAUGAGCCGGCACUGAUGUUCACCAUCCCCCGGCUGGCCAUCGUGUGUGGCCUCGUGGUCUACGCGGACGGACCCCUGAACCUGGACCGCAAGGCAGAGGAUAUGUCUGAGCUGUUCCGGCCUUUCCACAUGUUGCUGCGGAGAAUCAGGGAUUUGCUGCAGACCCUGACAGAGGAGGAGCUUCACACGCUGGAACGGAACCUCUGCAUUUCUCAAGACGUGGAGUUCCCCAUCAGGGCAGAGACCCAGGUGCCCCCUGCCCUGGCGCCCACCUUCCCCGCGCCCCUGGCCCCGGAGGAGCCACUCUCAGCCAAGGCCAAAAACGCAGAGGCGGAUCUGGCCUGCUCCAUGCAAUACGAUGACCAGGAGCUGGAGCAGCUCAGCCGCAUGGUGCACAAGGCCGGGGACGAGAUGUCCUCCCUCCUCUCCCCGCCCAGUGCCGGCCAGUCCCCCGCACACGGGCCAGGCGCCGCGGGCAGCCCCUGCGGGCAGGCGUCCCCAGGCGGCGCGCGGCCACCGGGCAGCGACGAGGAGGAGGGGAGGGUGUUCUUCAUGGAUGACGUGGAAGGGGCGGCAGAGGCCCCGGGCAGCCCGUCUGGGUGGGCUGGCAGCGCCAGGGCUGACCCCCAGCAGAGAGGGCAGGCCAGAGGGAGCAAAGAGCUGGGGGGCAGCAAGCUCGCUGCUGCGGAGGGGGACCCGAGCGACAUUGAGGGUGACAGAAUGCGGGCAGUGGGCCCCAACCUCUGCAGCUGCCUGGACUCCCAGCCGCACCUGGAUGGCUGGGAGGUGAGUGUGGAUGAGGCCGAGACGGCCGAGCUGAUCGCCCACCGGACAGGGGGCAUGAAGCUCUCAGCCACGGUCAUCUUCAAUCCCAAGUCGUCCACCUCAUCGGACUCUGUCCCUGCCAACUCAGAAGCCCCUGGAAAGAGCGUCUCCCCGUCAGAGCCCGGGGCCGAGGGGACGGAGGCUGGCUCCCACAAACUCAGUGCCCCGGCCACCACCUGCCUCCUGAAUUCCUGCGUGUGCUGCGGGGGCUGCGGGGGCAGCAGGGAGGACGCGGCUGAGAGCCUGCGGGGCAAGGGCAGCUCAGGCAGCGUCGUCAGCUCCUCCUACGUUGGCUUGGCCAAGGCCAGUGCCAAGGACUCGGCUGCGGGGCUGUUGGAGGCCCGGCCUGCCCCAGCGGCCUUGCCCACGGGCGCCCCAGCCCCCCUGCCAUCAGAAGACACCCCUGACAGGCAGGAUCCCAAAGCCCCUACUUCCAACAAGUGCCUGGCACACCCCUCAGAGCCCCAGGUGGACGCAGCAGACCGGCUGCCUGGAGCGGGCGACGGUGCCGAGCAGCAGAACGAGGCUGAGCGCCUGCGGCCCUCGGCGCCUGGGGAGGAGAGUCGACUGGGAGGGGCAGCCGAGGAGGAGCCCCGGCACCUGCCGGGCUCCAGGUGCAAGCCGUGUGGCAUCAGCCAAGUGCAGUGGAACAAGUUCUAAGAGGCGGCUUUCUUCCUCAGGACUUCUGACCCAGUGGCCCAGAGACGACUGGUGACAGCCGGGGGACACCUCCCUACUUUGUCUGGAAUCGCCUCCUGCUUUCCCGACACGCCCCCCCGUGGACACUGCUUGUUCACAUCAUGCCAGCAGCUGCCCAGACCUCCUCUGGCUUAACACAAACGCUGAGCUGAGCUGAGAAGAGGAAAGGGCCAUCGGGCCACACCCGGAGGCCCUCGGAGACACUCCCAUCCUCCAGGAAGGUGGUCUCCAGGAAGUGCAGAGGGUCUGAGGAAGGAAGAAUGUGGCACUUGGCCGGGUGAUCAGGGCAGCCAUGCCUUUGGGCCAGGACCGUGGACAGCGGCGUCUGGGGCCCAGCAUUGCACCAGGAGCAGCUGGGAAUAGGUCAGCAGAUGGCGCCUGUCCCCUCCGCUGGCAGCAUGUGUAUCAGGAGCCCUGUUCGUUCGUUCAUUCAUUUAUUCAUGCAUUCACAGUACGUGCGGGUUCCCGGGUGCUGAGCAAGGUGCCAGAGACACACCCAGGAACAAGGCAGAGGUGGCCCGGCCUCUUGGAGCGUGAUCGGACAUGAAUACGGAGGGGACAAAGCCAUACGAUUGAAACAGACACAAAGACCAGCCUUACACAGGCAGAAAGUUCCCCAGAAUUCAGAUGGCGAGAUUCCUGGCAUUGGUUGGCACCUUAGUAGCACCUCUGGUGGCUUCCUGCGGAAACAGCCGGGCCGGUGUCAGGUGCAGGCGGCCACCUUCCCUUCGGCAGAGGAAGAGCUGGAGCCCAGGAGAAGCUGGUACUCCCCUUGGCUCCAAGUGCCUGGGAGGGCUGGUGUCACCCUUGACCUUCUGCCCAAGCAAGAGCCCAUCUGCUCUGUGCGGUGCACUUGGUCAUCACUCGGUUGUGAAGAGCUGUCGCCCUGAUUUGACCGUGAGGCCUGCCUGUCCAGCAGGGGCCCCUGUGGCCCCUGUGAUGUGCUGCAUGGAGGAGUGACUUGCAGGUGUGGCCCUGCGCUCAUGAACUUCUGGCCAGAAGUGUGAGUCAGGCAGGUGCAGCUCAGACCUCUGUGUCACCAUCGGGCUGGGCGCCAUGCAGGGAGUUGUGGCUAAGGAUCUGCUUGUGGGGCCAAGGUCCCUGAGGACACCCAGAGCCGAAUCUCCCACUUGAGCAUCGUACAGCCUGCGGGUGAGGGCUAGGGCUGCCAGAAGGACAGACAUAGGGCAGGAGGUGGGGCCUGGAGCAGGGGCCCAGCCAGGAGAAGCGCCUCCCCACCCACCGUGACUCUCCCAGACCCUGCCCAGCCCGCUGCACACAGGCUGUUCCAGCAAUGCUGUUGCCCAAGGUGGGGACGUGUCACCCCGGCAGAGUCCUGGGCAGAAUGUUCCAGAACCAAGUGUCCUUCAGCUCUUUUCUUUUUAUCACCUUCUUUCUUACCUUUUCAAUGCUCGAAGAUUAAUCUUUUUGGGGGGAAAGUUGGCAUCUUUUAGAAGCGUGCUGUUCACUGUCUGGACUCACCUCAUCAUCAGAACCUUCCACACUCUUGAGGCCCCUGAAUUGCUCUCUUGUCCAGGAGACGGAAACUCGCCCUGUCUCAGGUCGGCUUUGUCCUUUCUGUGGACAUUUUACUAAAGGGUGUGUCCAACCUUCCGCUUGCUUGAAAAAAUAACACCGACUCUUUCUUCUAGUUAUAGUUGUGGCCCAUCCACUGCAGAAGCUCACGGAAAAACGAAAAAGAGAGAAAGAAAGAAAGCAAAACCAUUCCAAGUCCCAUGAGCAGUUUUACAGUUUUUUUCUGAAUGUUAUUUUUUGAUCAUUUAUCCGCAAAAUCCAUUAAAAACGCAAGUCCCGUA